UACGGAGGGUGCAAGCGUUAUCCGGAUUUAUUGGGUUUAAAGGGUCCGUAGGCGGAUCUGUAAGUCAGUGGUGAAAUCUCAUAGCUUAACUAUGAAACUGCCAUUGAUACUGCAGGUCUUGAGUAAAGUAGAAGUGGCUGGAAUAAGUAGUGUAGCGGUGAAAUGCAUAGAUACUACUUAGAGCACCAAUUGCGAAGGCAGGUCACUAUGUUUUAACUGACGCUGAUGGACGAAAGCGUGGGGAGCGAACAGG
RNAcentral lists this ribosomal RNA (253 nucleotides) under uncultured bacterium. RNAcentral's name for it is "partial 16S ribosomal RNA". It matches the Rfam family "Bacterial small subunit ribosomal RNA", at positions 524 to 776 of the family's 1533-position model. The record is from RNAcentral.